AGCGAACGCUGGCGGCAGGCUUAACACAUGCAAGUCGAACGCCCGGGCAACCGGGAGUGGCAGACGGGUGAGUAACGCGUGGGAACGUGCCCUUUGGUUCGGAAUAACUCAGGGAAACUUGAGCUAAUACCGGAUACGCCCCGAGGGGGGGAAAGAUUUAUCGCCGAAGGAUCGGCCCGCGUCCGAUUAGCUAGUUGGUGAGGUAGCGGCUCACCAAGGCGACGAUCGGUAGCUGGUCUGAGAGGAUGAUCAGCCACACUGGGACUGAGACACGGCCCAGACUCCUACGGGAGGCAGCAGUGGGGAAUAUUGGACAAUGGGGGCAACCCUGAUCCAGCCAUGCCGCGUGAGUGAUGAAGGCCUUAGGGUUGUAAAGCUCUUUCGGCGGGGACGAUAAUGACGGUACCCGCAGAAGAAGCCCCGGCUAACUUCGUGCCAGCAGCCGCCGUAA
RNAcentral lists this ribosomal RNA (451 nucleotides) under uncultured bacterium. Its description in RNAcentral is "partial 16S ribosomal RNA". It matches the Rfam family "Bacterial small subunit ribosomal RNA", at positions 29 to 523 of the family's 1533-position model. The record is from RNAcentral.